RNAcentral lists this ribosomal RNA (450 nucleotides) under uncultured bacterium. RNAcentral describes it as "partial 16S ribosomal RNA". It matches the Rfam family "Bacterial small subunit ribosomal RNA", at positions 354 to 796 of the family's 1533-position model. The record is from RNAcentral.
GUGGGGAAUCUUCCGCAAUGGACGAAAGUCUGACGGAGCAACGCCGCGUGAGUGAAGAAGGUUUUCGGAUCGUAAAGCUCUUUCGUUAGGGACGAACGUGCUCUUUGUGAAUAAUGAGGAGUAAUGACGGUACCUAAAUAAGAAGCCACGGCUAACUACGUGCCAGCAGCCGCGGUAAUACGUAGGUGGCAAGCGUUGUCCGGAAUUAUUGGGCGUAAAGCGCGCGCAGGCGGGAUAUCAAGUCUGUCUUAAAAGUGCGGGGCUCAACCUCGUGAGGGGACAGAAACUGGUAUUCUUGAGUGUCGGAGAGGAAAGUGGAAUUCCAAGUGUAGCGGUGAAAUGCGUAGAGAUUUGGAAGAACACCAGUGGCGAAGGCGACUUUCUGGACGAUGUCUGACGCUGAGGCGCGAAAGCUAGGGGAGCGAACGGGAUUAGAAACCCUGGUAGUCC